This 398-nucleotide ribosomal RNA is filed under the name unidentified microorganism. RNAcentral's name for it is "bacterial SSU rRNA". It matches the Rfam family "Bacterial small subunit ribosomal RNA", at positions 1096 to 1496 of the family's 1533-position model. The record is from RNAcentral.
GCGCAACCUUAUUGUUAGUUGCCAUCAUUCAGUUGGGCACUCUAGCGAGACUGCCGGUAAUAAACCGGAGGAAGGUGGGGAUGACGUCAAAUCAUCAUGCCCCUUAUGACCUGGGCUACACACGUGCUACAAUGGUUGGUACAACGAGUCGCAAGUCGGUGACGGCAAGCAAAUCUCUUAAAGCCAAUCUCAGUUCGGAUUGUAGGCUGCAACUCGCCUACAUGAAGUCGGAAUCGCUAGUAAUCGCGGAUCAGCACGCCGCGGUGAAUACGUUCCCGGGCCUUGUACACACCGCCCGUCACACCACGAGAGUUUGUAACACCCGAAGUCGGUGAGGUAACCGUAAGGAGCCAGCCGCCUAAGGUGGGAUAGAUGAUUGGGGUGAAGUCGUAACAAGG